GACGAACGCUGGCGGCGUGCUUAACACAUGCCAGUCGAACGGAAAGGCCCUGCUUUUGUGGGGUGCUCGAGUGGCGAACGGGUGAGUAACACGUGAGUAACCUGCCCUUGACUUUGGGAUAACUUCAGGAAACUGGGGCUAAUACCGGAUAGGAGCUCCUGCUGCAUGGUGGGGGUUGGAAAGUUUCGGCGGUUGGGGAUGGACUCGCGGCUUAUCAGCUUGUUGGUGGGGUAGUGGCUUACCAAGGCUUUGACGGGUAGCCGGCCUGAGAGGGUGACCGGGGAGGGUGGGAGGGGGGGACGGCGGAGGUGGGGGGGGGAGGCGAGGGGGGGGAAGAGGGGGCAGGGGCGGGGAGCCUGAGGGAGUAGGGGGGGGGGGGGGCGGACGGCGGGGGGGGUGUCAGCCGCUUGGGGGGGGGACGAAGGGUGGGUGGCGGGAAGGGGGAAAGAAGCACCGGCGAACGACGCGUCAGCAGCGGGGGUAAUAGGGGGAAGAGCACCGGUAUGAAC
RNAcentral lists this ribosomal RNA (509 nucleotides) under uncultured bacterium. Its description in RNAcentral is "partial 16S ribosomal RNA". The stretch from base 85 to 282 matches the Rfam family "Bacterial small subunit ribosomal RNA", at positions 109 to 308 of the family's 1533-position model. The record is from RNAcentral.